GCGGGAAUAGCUCAGUGGUAGAGCACAACCUUGCCAAGGUUGGGGUCGCGAGUUCGAGCCUCGUUUCCCGCUCCA
RNAcentral lists this transfer RNA (75 nucleotides) under Francisella tularensis. RNAcentral describes it as "tRNA-Gly". It matches the Rfam family "tRNA". From Rfam's summary of the family: Transfer RNA (tRNA) molecules are approximately 80 nucleotides in length. Lineage: Bacteria; Pseudomonadati; Pseudomonadota; Gammaproteobacteria; Thiotrichales; Francisellaceae. RNAcentral also lists the same sequence under 374 other names. The record is from RNAcentral.